Molecule: ribosomal RNA, 253 nt
Filed under: uncultured bacterium
Lineage: Bacteria
Description: partial 16S ribosomal RNA
Rfam family: Bacterial small subunit ribosomal RNA
Source: RNAcentral
UACGUAGGGGGCAAGCGUUGUCCGGAUUUAUUGGGCGUAAAGAGCGUGUAGGCGGCCAGGGAGGUCCGUUGUGAAAACUCGAGGCUCAACCUCGAGACGCCGGUGGAAACCAUCAGGCUAGAGUCCGGAAGAGGAGAGUGGAAUUCCUGGUGUAGCGGUGAAAUGCGCAGAUAUCAGGAAGAACACCCGUGGCUAAGGCGGCUCUCUAGUACGGUACUGACGCUGAGACGCGAAAGCGUGGGGAGCGAACAGG